CCAGGCCUACGGGGGGCAGCAGUGGGGGAUAUUGCACAAUGGGGGAAACCCUGAUGCAGCGACACCGCGUGGGAGAAGAAGCGCUUCGGCGUGUAAAGCCCUAUCAGUGGGGAAGAAAAAGGACGGUACCCAAAGAAGAAGCACCGGCUAAAUACGUACCAGCAGCCGCGGUAAUACGUAUGGAGCAAGCGUUAUCCGGAAUGACUGGGUGUAAAGGGAGCGUAGACGGUUGUACAAGUCUGCUGGGAAAGCCAACGGAACAACUGAGGGAGGGCAUUGGAAACUGCAGCACUAGAGGAUAGGAG
RNAcentral lists this ribosomal RNA (305 nucleotides) under uncultured bacterium. RNAcentral describes it as "bacterial SSU rRNA". It matches the Rfam family "Bacterial small subunit ribosomal RNA", at positions 331 to 654 of the family's 1533-position model. The record is from RNAcentral.